AGUGGCGGACGGGUGAGUAAUACGUAAGAAUCUACCUAGUAGUUCAGGAUAGCUUGUGGAAACGCAGGGUAAUACUGGAUGUGUUCUCCGGAAUAAAGGGGGCUUUCGGGCUCUCGCUAUUAGAUGAGCUUACGUCGGAUUAGCUUGUUGGUGGGGUAAAGGCCCACCAAGGCGACGAUCCGUAGCUGUUCUGAGAGGAAGAUCAGCCACAUUGGGACUGAGACACGGCCCAGACUCCUACGGGAGGCAGCAGUGGGGAAUAUUGGACAAUGGGCGAAAGCCUGAUCCAGCAAUACCGCGUGUGUGAAGAAGGCCUGCGGGUUGUAAAGCACUUUCGUUGGGGAGGAAAGGCUCUAUGCUAAUACCAUAGAGAGUUGACGUUACCCAAAUAAGAAGCACCGGCUAACUCUGUGCCAGCAGCCGCGGUAAUACAGAGGGUGCGAGCGUUAAUCGGAAUUACUGGGCGUAAAGAGUGCGUAGGUGGCCAUGUAAGUCAGGUGUGAAAUUUCGGAGCUUAACUUCGAACUUGCGCUUGAAACUGUGUGGCUAGAGUCCUGUAGAGGGCAGUGGAAUUUCCGGAGUAGCGGUGAAAUGCGUAGAUAUCGGAAGGAACACCAGUGGCGAAGGCGACUGCCUGGCCAGAGACUAACACUGGGGCACGAAAGCGUGGGUAGCAAACAGGAUUAGAUACCCUGGUAGU
Molecule: ribosomal RNA, 700 nt
Filed under: uncultured Gammaproteobacteria bacterium
Lineage: Bacteria; Pseudomonadati; Pseudomonadota; Gammaproteobacteria
Description: bacterial SSU rRNA
Rfam family: Bacterial small subunit ribosomal RNA
Source: RNAcentral